GUUCCUUUAUUCCUUUUCAACUUCGUAGUCUUUUUAGCCUUUUUUUCUUAUUUUUUUAUUUUAGCGUCUCUGAUGAGUCCUUCGUAGACGAAACGUGCAUGUGCAUAUACUUCAAAGACUGUUUACGCCUUCGCUCUGAUUUUGAAGGAGGUUGUUGCUAACAAGAACCAAGUGAACCGAGGCUUCCCAAAGAUUUUGAUUUAAAAGUCCGGAAAUCGCAAUUUAAUUUCUACUUACCUAAUACAAAAUGUGUCUGACAAAGGACCGACUUAUU
Molecule: long non-coding RNA, 274 nt
Filed under: Mytilus galloprovincialis (Mediterranean mussel)
Lineage: Eukaryota; Metazoa; Mollusca; Bivalvia; Mytilida; Mytilidae
Source: RNAcentral